This 276-nucleotide ribosomal RNA is filed under the name uncultured bacterium. RNAcentral describes it as "partial 16S ribosomal RNA". It matches the Rfam family "Bacterial small subunit ribosomal RNA", at positions 28 to 304 of the family's 1533-position model. The record is from RNAcentral.
GAUGAACGCUAGCGGCAGGCCUAAUACAUGCAAGUCGAGGGGUAACAGGAGUAGCAAUACUUGCUGACGACCGGCGCACGGGUGCGUAACACGUAUGUAAUCUGCCCAUCACUGGAGGAUAGCCCGGAGAAAUCCGGAUUAAUACUCCAUAAUAGACGAAGGGGCAUCUCUUUGUUUUGAAAGCUCCGGCGGUGAUGGAUGAACAUGCGACUGAUUAGUGUUGGUGAGGUAACGGCUCACCAAGACUUCGAUCAGUAGGGGUACUGAGAGGUUAAA